Molecule: long non-coding RNA, 410 nt
Filed under: Ananas comosus (pineapple)
Lineage: Eukaryota; Viridiplantae; Streptophyta; Magnoliopsida; Poales; Bromeliaceae
Description: long non-coding RNA (ACOM_LNC022415)
Source: RNAcentral
GGCGAGGAGGGCGGGGUUGCACUGGCGAGGGCGAGGGCGUGCGGGGCGGAGGUGAGGCGGGUUGUUUCUGCCUCCGCCUCCGCCAUCGCUGCGUUCUUUAGAGAGAGAAAAAAAAAGAACGAGCGGAAAAAAAAAGAGGAGAGAGAAAAAGCCUCCACCUCUGCCAUCGCUGUGUUCUUUAGAGAGAGAAAAUAAAAGAAGCGUUCUUUAGGAAGAGAAAAAAAAAGAACGAGAGAAAAAAAAAGAAAGAAAAAGUAAUUAGGGUAUUUUGGUCAAUUUGCUGAAAAUCUGGUCUGCAAAAAUAAAAAAGAUGAUCCGAUUUUACAAAAGUUUAAAAUAAGUUGAUUUGUUAUGCAAAUUGGCCUGUAAAAUAUGCAGGGUUAUUUGGGGGCUAAAAACAAAAAAAAAUU